Molecule: long non-coding RNA, 210 nt
Filed under: Homo sapiens (human)
Lineage: Eukaryota; Metazoa; Chordata; Mammalia; Primates; Hominidae
Description: HSALNT0147644
Source: RNAcentral
UCAGAUAAUUGAGUUUCUAGUCAUAAGCAUGUGCUGUUACCAUAGGGGGUUUGAUGAUAAUUAAGAAGUUCUUGGUUAAACAGCAUUGCUUAAAACACAUAAUAUGGAUAACACCACUCCCAGGAAGAUGGAGCCUUGGUCUCAGACUGAUAGUUUCCCAUUGCCGAUAUGAUGUAAAUUAUUACAGUAUCAACAGCAUUGAUUUUCCAA